GGGUUGUGAGGUUAAGCGACUAAGCGUACACGGUGGAUGCCCUGGCAGUCAGAGGCGAUGAAGGGCGUGCUAAUCUGCGAUAAGCGCCGGUAAGGUGAUAUGAACCGUUAUAACCGGCGAUACCCGAAUGGGGAAACCCAGUGUGACUCGUCACACUAUCAUUAACUGAAUCCAUAGGUUAAUGAGGCGAACCGGGGGAACUGAAACAUCUAAGUACCCCGAGGAAAAGAAAUCAACCGAGAUUCCCCCAGUAGCGGCGAGCGAACGGGGAGGAGCCCAGAGCCUGAAUCAGCAUGUGUGUUAGUGGAAGCGUCUGGAAAGGCGCGCGAUACAGGGUGAUAGCCCCGUACACAAAAGCGCAUGUGUUGUGAGCUCGAUGAGUAGGGCGGGACACGUGGUAUCCUGUCUGAAUAUGGGGGGACCAUCCUCCAAGGCUAAAUACUCCUGACUGACCGA
RNAcentral lists this ribosomal RNA (456 nucleotides) under Salmonella enterica subsp. enterica serovar Ohio. RNAcentral's name for it is "partial 23S ribosomal RNA". It matches the Rfam family "Bacterial large subunit ribosomal RNA", at positions 1 to 487 of the family's 2925-position model. Lineage: Bacteria; Pseudomonadati; Pseudomonadota; Gammaproteobacteria; Enterobacterales; Enterobacteriaceae. The record is from RNAcentral.